This 615-nucleotide ribosomal RNA is filed under the name Helicomyces roseus. RNAcentral describes it as "eukaryotic LSU rRNA". It matches the Rfam family "Eukaryotic large subunit ribosomal RNA", at positions 21 to 656 of the family's 3401-position model. The record is from RNAcentral. Lineage: Eukaryota; Fungi; Ascomycota; Dothideomycetes; Tubeufiales; Tubeufiaceae.
AUACCCGCUGAACUUAAGCAUAUCAAUAAGCGGAGGAAAAGAAACCAACAGGGAUUGCCUCAGUAACGGCGAGUGAAGCGGCAAUAGCUCAAAUUUGAAAUCUGCUCUUUGAGCCGAAUUGUAAUUUGUAGAGGAUGCUUCGGCUUACGUUUCGGUCUAAGUUCCUUGGAACAGGACGUCAUAGAGGGUGAGAAUCCCGUCUGUGGCCGAGACUUCCGCCAUGUGAAGCUCCUUCGACGAGUCGAGUUGUUUGGGAAUGCAGCUCUAAAUGGGAGGUAUAUUUCUUCUAAAGCUAAAUACCGGCCAGAGACCGAUAGCGCACAAGUAGAGUGAUCGAAAGAUGAAAAGCACUUUGGAAAGAGAGUUAAAAAGUACGUGAAAUUGUUGAAAGGGAAGCGUUUGCGACCAGACUUGCCUGCGGAUGCUCAAUCGGUCCUUCGGCCGAUGCACUCUUCCGCAGUCAGGCCAGCAUCAGUUCGAGUAGCCAGAUAAAGGCAUUGGGAAUGUGGCUCUCUUCGGGGAGUGUUAUAGCCCUUUGUGCAAUAUGGUUCAUUUGGACUGAGGCCCGCGCUUCGGCUAGGAUGCUGGCGUAAUGGUCGUAAGCGGCCCGUCUUG